RNAcentral lists this ribosomal RNA (497 nucleotides) under uncultured bacterium. RNAcentral's name for it is "partial 16S ribosomal RNA". It matches the Rfam family "Bacterial small subunit ribosomal RNA", at positions 28 to 507 of the family's 1533-position model. The record is from RNAcentral.
GAUGAACGCUGGCGGCGUGCCUAAUACAUGCAAGUCGAGCGAACAGACGAGGAGCUUGCUCCUCUGACGUUAGCGGCGGACGGGUGAGUAACACGUGGAUAACCUACCUAUAAGACUGGGAUAAAUUCGGGAAACCGGAGCUAAUACCGGAUAAUAUAUUGAACCGCAUGGUUCAAUAGUGAAAGACGGUUUUGCUGUCACUUAUAGAUGGAUCCGCGCCGCAUUAGCUAAUUGGUAAGGUAACGGCUUACCAAGGCAACGAUGCGUAGCCGACCUGAGAGGGUGAUCGGCCACACUGGAACUGAGACACGGUCCAGACUCCUACGGGAGGCAGCAGUAGGGAAUCUUCCGCAAUGGGCGAAAGCCUGACGGAGCAACGCCGCGUGAGUGAUGAAGGUCUUCGGAUCGUAAAACUCUGUUAUUAGGGAAGAACAAAUGUGUAAGUAACUAUGCACGUCUUGACGGUACCUAAUCAGAAAGCCACGGCUAACUACGUG